AACUAGUCAUAUAUGGUAUUUUUUGAAAGCGUAGAACCUCUGCUUUCUUGCAAGUCCCAUGGUAUUUGCAUUAAUUUUACAUAAAAGAAAAUAAUAAGGUAUAAAUUCGUUCUUCCACAACCACCCCCCCCUUGAGAAAAUCAGAUGAAUAAUGUUCAUAUUUCAUAUUUAUAGCACACAAACUCACCAAACAUGGACAAGUCACACAUCAAAUGAAAGCUCUCACUCUCAGGAAUGUCACUGUGUACUUUAUUUCACCGAUCUUAUACAUUACAGUGACAUAACAAAUAAUAAUUUUCAAAAGAAUCACGAAAACUGAAAUUACUUAUGUGAACAAGCAAACGUAUGCGUCAUAUUUCUGCGCUGAUAACUACAUCUGUGCUCACAUACUAGCCUAAAAUCCUAUAUCAGCUUUUACAUUAGGUUGUUUUCUUCAAAAUGAGAGCAUUCUCGUGUGUCUGUGAGCAUGCAUGGCUAAACGGCACUAUAAUAUGUCUCAGAUGCGCAGAUCAAAACAUGCAAUGCAGCGUAAAACAUGACCAGUAUUUGUAUUGACUCUCUUUGAUUCCUUUCGACUUGCAAUGACGUCAUCACGCAGUGCGUCCUAUGUCAUGAAAGCUGACAGCCUCCCCUCUCCAUAGACACAUCGAUCAAGCUUCUAGACCAUUCAGAGCCCGAGUUGUUGCUUUCCAAAGUUGAGGAGGUGGGACUAAAGAAAACGCCGCAAACGGGCGCAGAUGAUUAUUGAUGAGUUGAUCGGAAGUUGGUUUGUGAUUUUGGAUAGCGUUUUAGCGAAUUAUUGCGUGCUUUUAUUACUGUUAGAGUUAUAUGUCUCUGAAAAAUUACUUCAAGAAAGUUUUUUGUUGGUGUGGAGGCGGCUUUGGAGGAGUUUGAUCGGAUGUCCGACACUGAAACUUGCAGCGAGGCUAGCUAGCUUUGACUCGGUCAGAGAAGCUGCUUACAAACUGGGAGAAGACCCUGAUUUUGAUUGUAGCAUCCAGUGGUGAAGAAUGGGAGCCAGCAAGUCAGGAUACUUAUCUUGUGUGUGUGUGUGUGUGUGUGUGUGUGUGUGUAAAAUAAAAUGCAAGAACAGAA
Molecule: long non-coding RNA, 1095 nt
Organism: Carassius auratus (goldfish)
Lineage: Eukaryota; Metazoa; Chordata; Actinopteri; Cypriniformes; Cyprinidae
Exons: 2
Source: RefSeq, a predicted model, not a curated record